This 366-nucleotide ribosomal RNA is filed under the name uncultured eukaryote. RNAcentral's name for it is "partial 18S ribosomal RNA". It matches the Rfam family "Eukaryotic small subunit ribosomal RNA", at positions 592 to 976 of the family's 1831-position model. The record is from RNAcentral.
CAAUAGUGUAUAUUAACGUUGUUGCAGUUAAAAAGCUCGUAGUUGGAUUUCUGGAGGGAGCGUCGGCCCGUAUUUACGAGUGCGUGACGUCUCUGUCCAUCCUUGCGGGAAGGCACGGCAUUGAUUUGUUGUGUCGGAUCGCAUCAUUUACUGUGAAAAAAUUAGAGUGUUCAAAGCAGGCUUUCGCUUGAAUACAUUAGCAUGGAAUAAUAAGAUAGGACUUUGGUGCUAUUUUGUUGGUUGAGCCUAAAGUAAUGAUUAAUAGGGAUAGUUGGGGGCACCUGUAUUGCGUUGUCAGAGGUGAAAUUCUUGGAUUUACGCAAGACAAACAGCUGCGAAANCGNNNGCCAAGGAUGUUUUCAUNAA